CAUUAAAGCGGUACGCGAGCUGGGUUCAGAACGUCGUGAGAAAGUUCGGUCCCUAUCCGGCGCAGGCGCAGGAUAUCUGAGAGGAGCUGUCCUUAGUACGAGAGGACCGGGAUGGACGGACCGCCGGUGUACCUGUUGGCGACCAACGCCAUGGCAGGGUAGCCGAGUCCGGCAGGGAUAAACGCUGAAGGCAUCUAAGCGUGAAGCCCCCCUCAAGAUGAGAUAUCCCAGUUAAGUAAGACCCCUUGGAGACUACGAGGUAGAUAGGCUUAAGGUGUAAGUGCAGCAAUGUAUUAAGCUGAUAAGUACUAAUCGGUCGAGGGCUUAACCAUG
RNAcentral lists this ribosomal RNA (333 nucleotides) under Lachnospiraceae bacterium. RNAcentral's name for it is "partial 23S ribosomal RNA". It matches the Rfam family "Bacterial large subunit ribosomal RNA", at positions 2586 to 2925 of the family's 2925-position model. The record is from RNAcentral. Lineage: Bacteria; Bacillati; Bacillota; Clostridia; Lachnospirales; Lachnospiraceae.